RNAcentral lists this transfer RNA (75 nucleotides) under bacterium TMED190. Its description in RNAcentral is "tRNA-Asn". It matches the Rfam family "tRNA". Rfam says of the family: Transfer RNA (tRNA) molecules are approximately 80 nucleotides in length. Their secondary structure includes four short double-helical elements and three loops (D, anti-codon, and T loops). RNAcentral also lists the same sequence under 1 other name. The record is from RNAcentral.
UGGGAUGUGGUCUAAUGGCAAGACACUCGGCUGUUAACCGGGCUGAUGUAGGUUCGAAUCCUACCAUCCCAGCAA